This 497-nucleotide ribosomal RNA is filed under the name uncultured bacterium. RNAcentral describes it as "partial 16S ribosomal RNA". It matches the Rfam family "Bacterial small subunit ribosomal RNA", at positions 28 to 507 of the family's 1533-position model. The record is from RNAcentral.
GAUGAACGCUGGCGGCGUGCCUAAUACAUGCAAGUCGAGCGAACAGAUGAGGAGCUUGCUCCUCUGACGUUAGCGGCGGACGGGUGAGUAACACGUGGAUAACCUACCUAUAAGACUGGGAUAACUUCGGGAAACCGGAGCUAAUACCGGAUAAUAUAUUGCACCGCAUGGUUCAAUAGUGAAAGACGGUUUUGCUGUCACUUAUAGAUGGAUCCGCGCCGAAUUAGCUAGUUGGUAAGGUAACGGCUUACCAAGGCCACGAUGCGUAGCCGACCUGAGAGGGUGGUCGACCACACUGGAAGUGAGACAGGGCCCAGACACCUACGGGAGGCAGCAGUAGGGAAUCUUCCGCAAAGGGGGAAAGCCUGACGGAGCAACGCCGCGUGAGUGAUGAAGGUCUUCGGAUCGUAAAACUCUGUUAUUAGGGAAGAACAAAUGUGUAAGUAACUAUGCACGUCUUGACGGUACCUAAUCAGAAAGCCACGGCUAACUACGUG